CCUACGGGAGGCAGCAGUGGGGAAUCUUGCGCAAUGGGCGAAAGCCUGACGCAGCAACGCCGCGUGCGGGAAGAAGGCUUUCGGGCUGUAAACCGCUUUCAGCAGGAACGAAAAUGACGGUACCUGCAGAAGAAGGAGCGGCCAACUAUGUGCCAGCAGCCGCGGUGAUACAUAGGCUUCAAGCGUUGUCCGGAUUUAUUGGGCGUAAAGAGUUCGUAGGCGGUCAAGUAAGUCGGGUGUGAAAAUUCUGGGCUCAACCCAGAGACGCCACCCGAUACUGCUUAACUUGAGUUCGAUAGGGGAGUGGGGAAUUCCUAGUGUAGCGGUGAAAUGCGCAGAUAUUAGGAGGAACACCGGUGGCGAAGGCGCCACUCUGGAUCGAUACUGACGCUGAGGAACGAAAGCAUGGGUAGCAAACAGGAUUAGAUACCCUGGUAGUCCAUGCCGUAAACGGUGGGCACUAGGUGUGGGUUUCUAUUAACGAAAUCCGCGCCGUCGCUAACGCAUUAAGUGCCCCGCCUGGGGAGUACGGUCGCAAGACUAAAACUUAAAUGAAAUUGACGG
RNAcentral lists this ribosomal RNA (564 nucleotides) under uncultured bacterium. RNAcentral describes it as "bacterial SSU rRNA". It matches the Rfam family "Bacterial small subunit ribosomal RNA", at positions 338 to 916 of the family's 1533-position model. The record is from RNAcentral.